CCCGAAUCUUGAAGAGCUACUAUUUUAUUUUUUUAUUGUAUCAUAAAUAUUGUUAAUGGGAUAGUAGAAAUGAAACGUUAUUCGUUUCGAGAUAUAUCUGGUUUUCUAAGAAAUGAAUUUAAUUCAGCUUUUGCUUACUGUUUUAUUUCAAUUUGAUGAUUUAAAUGGGGCAGAAUGUAAUUUAAUCGGGGACAAGCUCGUUUAAAGAUUUCUAUUUGUAAAUUAUUUGGCCAGGCAGGUAGGAUUAAAAUUUUCCACCCUUUGUAAUAUGUUGUAAUUAGCUUGACCUAAAAUGAUAUUUUUAUUUUUAAUAGGUUGUCUAUUGGAAAAUAAUUUUUAACUUUAUUGAUUAAGAUAUAAUGAUAGGAUUAGUAUAUUUUGGUGCAUUGAUAUUGAUUAUUGUGUGGAAAAUCAAAGGAAUUCGGCAAAGAAACCUUCACCUGUUUAUUAAAAACAUGGCCUUUUGAUUAUAAUAUAAGGUCUGGCCUGCUCUAUGAUGAAAUUAAAUGGCCGCAGUAAUUUGACUGUGCUAAGGUAGCAUAAUCAUUAGUCUCUUAAUUAGGGGCUGGAAUGAAAGGUUUGAUGAAGGGAUAACUGUCUCUGGUUUUUUUCUAGAAUUUUAUUUUUAAGUAAGAAAGCUUAAAUUUUUUUGAAAGACGAGAAGACCCUAUAGAGUUUUAUAGCUUUACUUGUUAUUUAUUUUUGUAUAUUAUAGGGGUAAUAGGUGUGUUUAUUUAGUUGGGGUGAUUAUAAAAUUUGUAUAACUUUUAUUAUUUAAUGGUCACUGAUGAGUGUUAGAUUGAUCCGGAAUUUCCGAUUAGAAGAAUAAAUUACCUUAGGGAUAACAGCGUAAUCUUUUUUUAGAGUUCUAAUCGAGAAAGGGGGUUGCGACCUCGAUGUUGGAUUAAAAUUGGCGUAGGGUGCAAAAGUUCUAGGUGCUAGGUCUGUUCGACCUUUAAAAUUUUACAUGAUCUGAGUUUAAACCGGCGUGAGCCAGGUUGGUUUCUAUCUUCAAUUUAUUGGGAAAUUUUAGUACGAAAGGACCAAGUUU
RNAcentral lists this ribosomal RNA (1051 nucleotides) under Lachnaia pubescens. RNAcentral's name for it is "16S ribosomal RNA". It matches the Rfam family "Bacterial large subunit ribosomal RNA", at positions 714 to 2699 of the family's 2925-position model. Lineage: Eukaryota; Metazoa; Arthropoda; Insecta; Coleoptera; Chrysomelidae. The record is from RNAcentral.